GUGCCAAUGAGUCUGAGAGCAGUGGCCCUCUUCCAUUGUUAUUCAACAAUUUUGAGAUCCAUUGGCACUAUUGGUCAUGGCCCAGCCAACAACUUCAAAAGGUUUGAAAGGAAAAUUCCUAAUGAGAUGCACAGAAUGCCAGGAAUGUGUUCAUGUGCGGUCUACAAAAUGCCAGAGAUGUGGGUACAACUUUAAAACUCGUCGGAUGGAAAG
Non-coding RNA from Procambarus clarkii (red swamp crayfish), 213 nucleotides. NCBI's taxonomy places the organism in Eukaryota, Metazoa, Arthropoda, Malacostraca, Decapoda, Cambaridae. The record is from RefSeq and is a predicted model, not a curated record.